Molecule: transfer RNA, 82 nt
Filed under: Thalassiosira oceanica
Lineage: Eukaryota; Bacillariophyta; Thalassiosirophyceae; Thalassiosirales; Thalassiosiraceae
Rfam family: tRNA
About the family: Transfer RNA (tRNA) molecules are approximately 80 nucleotides in length. Their secondary structure includes four short double-helical elements and three loops (D, anti-codon, and T loops).
Source: Rfam by way of RNAcentral
GCGUGGAUGGCCGAGUGGUCUAAGGCGCUCGACUCAAGUUCGAGUAUCUUCGGAUGCGUGAGUUCAAAUCUCACUCUACGUA